Non-coding RNA from Bos taurus (domestic cattle), 72 nucleotides. Lineage: Eukaryota; Metazoa; Chordata; Mammalia; Artiodactyla; Bovidae. The record is from Rfam.
UCCCUGAUAGCUCAGUUGGUAAAGAAUCUGCCUAAAAUGCAGGAGACCCUGGUUUGAUUCCUGGGUCGGGAA